Molecule: long non-coding RNA, 547 nt
Filed under: Homo sapiens (human)
Lineage: Eukaryota; Metazoa; Chordata; Mammalia; Primates; Hominidae
Description: HSALNT0367714
Source: RNAcentral
UGGACAGUCAUUAGGAAAGACACAUAUCCCUUUAGAAUUUCGAACCAUUCCUUCUGGACAAAAGCACCCACGUUUGCAAGAUUCAAUGCAGUGACGGCAGAAAGUGUAUGGGCAUGAAGAUUCAAAGAAAAAGAUGCGGCCGUUGAAAGAUUUAUAUGCUCCUUUGCUCCAGGUACCUGAACCACUAAGGCCAGUUUCACCAAAUUCAUUUAGUCCAGAAGCACCAACACCAAGUUCAUCUGCACUCUUACCUCCUCCACCACUUCCAGAAUCAGAAGACCAAGUGUUUCCUCCUAAUGGAAAUCAAAAUGAGAAAUCUCUUGAGACCUCACUCAGAGUGCACAUCCUUACCACAGUACAAGGCUAAUGAGCUUGGAUCGAUGGUGUUCUCAGCCCAGUGGACUGAAAACAAUAGAUUGAAGAUUUGUGGCAACCCUGUGACUACCAACUCUAUUGAAACCAUUUCUCCAAUAGCAUGAGCUCACUUCAGGUCUUUGUAUCACAUUUUCAUAAUUCUCACAAUAUUUCAAAUUUAUUAUUAUUAUUA